GGGUUGUGAGGUUAAGCGACUAAGCGUACACGGUGGAUGCCCUGGCAGUCAGAGGCGAUGAAGGACGUGCUAAUCUGCGAUAAGCGUCGGUAAGGUGAUAUGAACCGUUAUAACCGGCGAUUUCCGAAUGGGGAAACCCAGUGUGUUUCGACACACUAUCAUUAACUGAAUCCAUAGGUUAAUGAGGCGAACCGGGGGAACUGAAACAUCUAAGUACCCCGAGGAAAAGAAAUCAACCGAGAUUCCCCCAGUAGCGGCGAGCGAACGGGGAGCAGCCCAGAGCCUGAAUCAGUGUGUGUGUUAGUGGAAGCGUCUGGAAAGGCGCGCGAUACAGGGUGACAGCCCCGUACACAAA
Molecule: ribosomal RNA, 355 nt
Filed under: Escherichia coli
Lineage: Bacteria; Pseudomonadati; Pseudomonadota; Gammaproteobacteria; Enterobacterales; Enterobacteriaceae
Description: partial 23S ribosomal RNA
Rfam family: Bacterial large subunit ribosomal RNA
Source: RNAcentral